RNAcentral lists this long non-coding RNA (669 nucleotides) under Citrus maxima (pomelo). Its description in RNAcentral is "long non-coding RNA (CMAX_LNC000985)". The record is from RNAcentral. Lineage: Eukaryota; Viridiplantae; Streptophyta; Magnoliopsida; Sapindales; Rutaceae.
GCAACAGCUUGAGUCCCCUUACUGUAGGGAUGAGACAAAUAACCUUUCUUUAAAACGUUGUAACCUCGUUAUUUCCCAUCCAUACUAUCCAGCCAUAUGUGAUAAAAGGUAGCAGCUGCAAUAUACAUUUGAUGCAUCCUCCACCAAGUGCCAAAACUAAAGCAGCUGAUAGCAACAAAUAUGCACAUAAAUGCCAGCAAGAAGCCAAAAGUUAUGUUACAGAUUCCAUCCAGUUAAGGUCCAGGUAACAAGCUCUCCGAUCUUCAGAUUUCCUGUCAUCGAAAUGCAGAGUCAAAACAUGCAUCAGCAGUAUGAAUAUUUAAAAUUAUCCUAGAUAUUUUACAUUAAUAGGUAAGAUUUCCUAGAGACUUUGACAAUUAAUUAGCCAACUAGUACCCAAAAAUUUCCCAAGUCAGGAUGCAAAGUGUUUCAUUCACAAAUCAUGUGAGAACCUAGUGAAGGUGAAGACCAGAAAACUCUAAGUAGAAUCAUGAUCAUGAUCACGAUGCAAAUGUUUCAUUUACAAAUCAUAUAUAAGAUUUAGGUGAAGAUAAAAACCAAGUACACUCUAAAAUCCUAAGUUGAAUCAUGAUGCUCGUGUUUUCAUUUACAAAUCAAACAAGAUUCUUGUAAAGAUUAAGUACUUAAACAGCUCAAGUCGAAUCAAAG